RNAcentral lists this ribosomal RNA (253 nucleotides) under uncultured bacterium. Its description in RNAcentral is "partial 16S ribosomal RNA". It matches the Rfam family "Bacterial small subunit ribosomal RNA", at positions 524 to 776 of the family's 1533-position model. The record is from RNAcentral.
UACGAAGGGGGCGAGCGUUGUUCGGAUUUACUGGGCGUAAAGGGCGCGCAGGCGGCUCAUUUUGUCAGGCGUGAAAGCCCCGGGCUUAACCUGGGAGGUGCGUUUGAUACGGAUGGGCUAGAGUUCGGGAGAGGAGAGUGGAAUUCCCAGUGUAGAGGUGAAAUUCGUAGAUAUUCGCAAGAACACCGGUGGCGAAGGCGGCCAACUGGACCAUUACUGACGCUGAGGCGCGAAAGCGUGGGGAGCAAACAGG